CAGCAGUAGCCGCGGGAAUACGGAGGGUGCAAGCGUUAAUCGGAAUUACUGGGCGUAAAGCGCACGCAGGCGGUUUGUUAAGUCAGAUGUGAAAUCCCCGAGCUUAACUUGGGAACUGCAUUUGAAACUGGCAAGCUAGAGUCUUGUAGAGGGGGGUAGAAUUCCAGGUGUAGCGGUGAAAUGCGUAGAGAUCUGGAGGAAUACCGGUGGCGAAGGCGGCCCCCUGGACAAAGACUGACGCUCAGGUGCGAAAGCGUGGGGAGCAAACAGGAUUAGAUACCCCUGUAGUCCCUGUCUCUUAUAC
Molecule: ribosomal RNA, 304 nt
Filed under: uncultured bacterium
Lineage: Bacteria
Description: partial 16S ribosomal RNA
Rfam family: Bacterial small subunit ribosomal RNA
Source: RNAcentral